GCAGUGGUAGCUCAGGGGUUAAGAUGUUGGCCUAACAAGCAGAAGGUCAUGAGUGCAAAUCCCAACACUGCC
Molecule: non-coding RNA, 72 nt
Organism: Pangasius djambal
Lineage: Eukaryota; Metazoa; Chordata; Actinopteri; Siluriformes; Pangasiidae
Source: the annotation of a GenBank genome assembly